This 497-nucleotide ribosomal RNA is filed under the name uncultured bacterium. Its description in RNAcentral is "partial 16S ribosomal RNA". It matches the Rfam family "Bacterial small subunit ribosomal RNA", at positions 28 to 507 of the family's 1533-position model. The record is from RNAcentral.
GACGAACGCUGGCGGCGUGCCUAAUACAUGCAAGUUGAGCGCUGAAGGUUGGUACUUGUACCAACUGGAUGAGCAGCGAACGGGUGAGUAACGCGUGGGGAAUCUGCCUUUGAGCGGGGGACAACAUUUGGAAACGAAUGCUAAUACCGCAUAAAAACUUUAAACACAAGUUUUAAGUUUGAAAGAUGCAAUUGCAUCACUCAAAGAUGAUCCCGCGUUGUAUUAGCUAGUUGGUGAGGUAAAGGCUCACCAAGGCGAUGAUACAUAGCCGACCUGAGAGGGUGAUCGGCCACAUUGGGACUGAGACACGGCCCAAACUCCUACGGGAGGCAGCAGUAGGGAAUCUUCGGCAAUGGACGUAAGUCUGACCGAGCAACGCCGCGUGAGUGAAGAAGGUUUUCGGAUCGUAAAACUCUGUUGGUAGAGAAGAACGUUGGUGAGAGUGGAAAGCUCAUCAAGUGACGGUAACUACCCAGAAAGGGACGGCUAACUACGUG